AACGAACGCUGGCGGCAUGCCUAACACAUGCAAGUCGAACGGGAUCCUAGCUUGCUAGGUGAGAGUGGCGGACGGGUGAGUAACACGUGGGAAUCUGCCUUUUGGUUCGGGAUAACCGCGGGAAACUGCGGCUAAUACCGAAUGCCCUCGAGAGAGGGAAAGAUUUAUCGCCAGAAGAGGAGCCCGCGUCCGAUUAGGUAGUUGGUGGGGUAAAGCCUACCAAGCCGACGAUCGGUAGCUGGGUCUGAGAGGAUGAUCAGCCACACUGGGACUGAGAUACGGCCCAGACUCCUACGGGAGGCAGCAGUGGGGAAUAUUGGACAAUGGGGGCAACCCUGAUCCAGCAAUGCCGCGUGAGUGAUGAA
Molecule: ribosomal RNA, 365 nt
Filed under: uncultured bacterium
Lineage: Bacteria
Description: bacterial SSU rRNA
Rfam family: Bacterial small subunit ribosomal RNA
Source: RNAcentral